Molecule: long non-coding RNA, 755 nt
Filed under: Gossypium barbadense (sea-island cotton)
Lineage: Eukaryota; Viridiplantae; Streptophyta; Magnoliopsida; Malvales; Malvaceae
Description: long non-coding RNA (GBAR_LNC008205)
Source: RNAcentral
UUCACAGCUGCGGGUGGCCUAGCAUGCAUCAUGGGCUGAAACCUCUCAUUUCCUCCUCCCAUGGCACGUUGUUGGUUCAUCAUUGCUGCCAAAUACUGUUGCUGUUGUUGUUGUUGAUGGUAUGGGUUGCCCGGCAUUACAUCCGGACCCGCUCCCUGAAAGUACCCUCCGCCGCCGCCGCCGCCGUUCAUGGCUGCUGCCGGUAACCCUUGCACUGCUGGGAUGUUACCCAUUUGGGGUAAGCUCCCCAUUUGGCCCAUUGCCAUGUUCAUGGCAGCAGCCCUUUGUUGUUGACUCAUGUUCCCACCAUUAGCGCCGCCACCCAUGGUAGGGAACCCAUCGGAAACACCGUUGGGAGCACCCUUUUUGCCACCGUUCCCACCACCGUUGUUACCACCAUUCUUGUGUAGCUCCUGAGGUAAACCACCGCCAUUUUUACCACCGUUUUUACCACCGCCACCUUGAUAUGGAUUCCCCCCGUUAGGAUUCCCUCCAGCACCACCACCUUUCUUACCUCCAUUCCCAUUUUUACCCUCAUUGUUACCACCACCAACAGGCAUACCACCCCCACCGUUACCACCUUUCUUACCAUUACCCCCACCAUUAGGAGCAGCAUUUUGGGGACCCUUUUGGGGAUUCAUAAGCUGAGGGAGAUUACCAUUCAUCAUGCCAUUCAACAUCACCAUGUUGUUGGGCAUUCCUUUAGGAGGAGCAUUAUUCCCCAUCAUAGCCUUCAUCUUGUUAACUGGAUGACG